AUACGAGGGGUCCUAGCGUUGUUCGGAAUCAUUGGGCGUAAAGGGUGUGUAGGUGGCUAUGUAAGUCAGGUGUGAAAGCCCCGGGCUCAACCCGGGAAGUGCAUCUGAUACUGCGUAGCUUGAGUACCGAAGAGGAUAGUGGAAUUCCAGGUGUAGUGGUGAAAUACGUAGAUAUCUGGAGGAACACCGGUGGCGAAGGCGGCUAUCUGGUCGAGUACUGACACUGAGACACGAAAGCAUGGGGAUCAAACAGGAUUAGAUACCCUGGUAGUCCAUGCCGUAAACGAUGGGUACUUGGUGUUGGAGGUAUUGACCCCUUCAGUGCCGAAGCUAACGCGUUAAGUACCCCGCCUGGGGAGUACGGUCGCAAGAUUAAA
This 377-nucleotide ribosomal RNA is filed under the name uncultured Pseudobdellovibrionaceae bacterium. Its description in RNAcentral is "bacterial SSU rRNA". It matches the Rfam family "Bacterial small subunit ribosomal RNA", at positions 523 to 898 of the family's 1533-position model. The record is from RNAcentral. Lineage: Bacteria; Pseudomonadati; Bdellovibrionota; Bdellovibrionia; Bdellovibrionales; Pseudobdellovibrionaceae.